RNAcentral lists this ribosomal RNA (782 nucleotides) under uncultured bacterium. RNAcentral describes it as "bacterial SSU rRNA". It matches the Rfam family "Bacterial small subunit ribosomal RNA", at positions 594 to 1367 of the family's 1533-position model. The record is from RNAcentral.
GUGAAAGACCCGGGCUCAACCCUGGAACUGCUCUUGAUACUGCGAUUCUUGAGGCCGGUAGAGGUCACUGGAACCUUAGGUGGAGCGGUGAAAUGCGUAGAUAUCUAAGGGAACGCCUGUGGCGAAAGCGGGUGACUGGGCCUGUCCUGACGCUGAGACGCGAAAGCGUAGGGAGCAAACGGGAUUAGAUACCCCGGUAGUCUACGCCGUAAACGAUGCGCACUAGGUUCGAAGGUCUCUGACGAUCCUCGGACCGAAACAAAAGCGUUAAGUGCGCCGCCUGGGGAGUACGGCCGCAAGGCUAAAACUCAAAGGAAUUGACGGGGGCUCACACAAGCGGUGGAGCAUGUGGAUCAAUUCGAAGCAACGCGAAGAACCUUACCUGGGUUUGACAUGCAUGGAUGCCCUCGACGAAAGUUGAGUAAGCUGCCUUUGGUGAAACAUGCACAGGUGCUGCAUGGCUGUCGUCAGCUCGUGCUGUGAAGUGUCGGGUUAAGUCCCUUAACGAGCGAAACCCUUAUCGCUAGUUGCCAGCGGGUCAUGCCGGGAACUCUAGUGAGACUGCCGGCGUCAAGCCGGAGGAAGGCGGGGACGACGUCAAGUCAUCAUGGCCUUUAUGCCCAGGGCGUCACACGUGCUACAAUGGGGUGGAACAGAGCGAUGCGAGACCGCAAGGUGGAGCAAAUCGCAGAAAACACCCCUCAGUUCGGAUUGAGGUCUGCAACCCGACCUCAUGAAGCUGGAAUCGCUAGUAAUCGCGUAUCAGCCAUGACGCGGUGAAU